Molecule: long non-coding RNA, 294 nt
Organism: Micropterus salmoides (largemouth bass)
Lineage: Eukaryota; Metazoa; Chordata; Actinopteri; Centrarchiformes; Centrarchidae
Exons: 2
Source: RefSeq, a predicted model, not a curated record
UGGUCUGAAAGCACAGUAAGAGUCUACAGCCAUGCUAGCAGCAAUAUUAGGCUGUACUUUGAACUGAAUGCUAACAUCAGCAUGUUAACAUGCUCACAAGGACUCGUUAAGCAGUAUGGAGGAUUAGUGGAAACAAAGAGAGAUCCAGGAGCCGACUCUCACUGAAGACAGAGACAGGAGGAAAAACUGUUGUUCUCUCAGCAGGAAAAUAUACUAAUGCUUCUCUAAAGACUAUUGUCAGUCAAAGAUUACUUUUCCAUUUCCAUGCUGAAUAAAUAUAAACUGAAAGAAUGG